This is a long non-coding RNA of Vicia villosa (hairy vetch), 2022 nucleotides long. RefSeq lists it as uncharacterized. The record is from RefSeq and is a predicted model, not a curated record. Lineage: Eukaryota; Viridiplantae; Streptophyta; Magnoliopsida; Fabales; Fabaceae. The transcript has 3 exons.
CACAAAUCUCCUUCUAAACCAAAGGCUACCAAGUUCGUUCCCUCAAAGAAGCCCAAAACCAGACAUUGACGAUAAAGAGAAGAAGACAACUCCCCUUUUCGGACGAGAACCUAAAAUCAAUGCUAAGGAACUCGCAGAUAGUUGAAAAAAAUAAGACAGAUCUUACCUGUCUAUGGGAAAAGACGAGACAUCGCAGGAUUGCUAAAGAAUAUAUUACUCUGCAGAAAAGAUAUGAUGUUAAAAUAUUUCAUUUUAUUUUUCUCUCUAUUGUCUUAAUUUUUGUUUACUUUGUACUUGAAUAUAAUGGAAGCAUGGUGACAGAAGCUCUAACAAAAAUUCAGGGGAAGAUCCAUGAGAUUGUAGUGUCUCACUGAGUGUUCUUUAGGUAUAUUUUUCAACUUUAUUUUUCAGUUUUAUACCCUUUUAGUCUAUUUAUUUUAGUUUUAAUAUUUAACUUUUUGUUUUGUGUUUGAAUUGAAAGACUCGUGUCAAAUAAUGUUUGUUCACAAGUAGAAAGAGAUGAAGUAUGUGAAGAGCUUCGUCCUCCUUUUCUAAAUGUAGUCUACAAAUGCAUAUGUGGUUCACUUAGUAAAGAAUAGGCCUCACAAUGGUAAUGGUGUGCUUGAAAUGUGUUUUUAUAUAUAAUAUCAUGUGUGUGUAUAAUAUCAGCGUCACACUUUAUUCUAAUUGGAUAUUCCCCAAUUUCAACCUAAAAAAAACAACUGGUAGGCUUAACAUCGAAACGCUUUUUUCUACUGUGUGUAUAAAUUUAGUUGGUAUAAAAAACAAGAACGAGGAUGGACUUUGUUGCCUCAUUUAACAGUAGUUUCAAAGGUAUGAUGAUGUUUGAUUACAAUCUCUUUGGUUUCUUUGGUUCAUUUAGUUGAAACUUGGAAGGUGUUAAUGUUCACUACUUGAAGAUAUUAACUGUUUGAUGAAAUGUAUAUGUUUUUUUGGAACUCUUGUUAAAAAUACAUGUCAUGACCAGCUGCCUCUUAUCAUUUUUUUUACUGAAAUGGAUAAAAGGAAUAAGAUUAUAUAAGGCAUAAUAAAAUUAUGUUAAAAACUUUGCAUUGUUAUUUGUGCAUUUAAAAACAUGGAUUUGAAGAGUGUUGAAUGCAUCAAGGAAAUUGCGUUACUUAGAUGUUGAUGAGUGUUAGUUGUUGGUGUUAAUACGAACACAUUUUAGUGGUAAUUGAUAACAGAGCAUGUGUGUUAUGUGGUGUUUGGUAGUCCUCAAUCAUGGUAAGUUCGCAAGUGUGUGGAGGGCUGACAUAGAUUUUAGUAGUAUAGACUGCAGGGAAUUGGUUUGUUAUAUCUAUUUUUGUUUUUUUGCUCAAGGCUGUUUGGUAGCGUAGCGUUGUUUUUCGGUAUUGUUGUAUGUUUUUUGGUAUGUUCUAAAAAGUGAUUAGAGCUUCGGAGAAAGUAAGGAAAGUAAGGAUAGUAAUGUUACCAUAAUUGAUUUGAUCUCUCCUAAGUGUAUGUAAUUAGAUUAUAUUUGUAGUGUUCGAGUUCUUUUGAACUGGGUUAGAUACUUGGGUUUUAUUUUUAUCUUUUAAGAUUUAAGUUAUCUCUUUUACUUUGUUUCUUAUUCAAGUAUCGGUUUUGAUUGUGCAUGGCUAAGUUUAAUCCUUGAAAGAAAGGAGAGACCAUGUGUCGGAACAAACAAAGUAGCUCUGCCUAAUGUUUGCAACCGACUUUCUAUAAGUUCUUUAAAGAUAAAUGAGAAGAAUUGAUUCAAGCAACAUCUCAACAAGAUAUCUCUUCACUUACUAAAAGCUUAUAUUAUCAGGCCAAGCCAUAUAUUAGAGAUGAAGUUCAUGAAGAUGAUAUGGCUGAUAAUGAUGAUGUGGCUGAUGAUAGUGAUGAUGUGUUUGAUGAUUGUGAACAAGUAGGUCAAGAAUGACAAGUGUAAUAGUGUGGCUUACUUUUGUAUGUCUUGUUUUUUGAGUUAAGAUAUUGACUUUUUGUAUGCAAGAAUUGAAAUAGAUUUAUUCCCCCUUUUGUAUGUGUUUGAUGAUG